This 83-nucleotide transfer RNA is filed under the name Amylocarpus encephaloides. RNAcentral describes it as "tRNA-Pro". Lineage: Eukaryota; Fungi; Ascomycota; Leotiomycetes; Helotiales. The record is from RNAcentral.
GGCCUCUUGGUCUAGUGGUAUGAUUCACGCUUUGGGUUAGUUCAAUUUGUGUGAGGUCUCCGGUUCGAUCCCGGAAGGGGCCC